RNAcentral lists this ribosomal RNA (497 nucleotides) under uncultured bacterium. Its description in RNAcentral is "partial 16S ribosomal RNA". It matches the Rfam family "Bacterial small subunit ribosomal RNA", at positions 28 to 507 of the family's 1533-position model. The record is from RNAcentral.
GAUGAACGCUGGCGGCGUGCCUAAUACAUGCAAGUCGAGCGAACGGACGAGGAGCUUUCUCCUUCGACGUUAGCGGCGGACGGGUGAGUAACACGUAGGUAACCUACCUAUAAGACUGGGAUAACUUCGGGAAACCGGAGCUAAUACCGGAUAAUAUUUCGAACCGCAUGGUUCGAUAGUGCAAGAUGGCUUUGCUAUCACUUAUAGAUGGACCUGCGCCGUAUUAGCUAGUUGGUAAGGUAACGGCUUACCAAGGCAACGAUACGUAGCCGACCUGAGAGGGUGAUCAGCCACACUGGAACUGAGACACGGUCCAGACUCCUACGGGAGGCAGCAGUAGGGAAUCUUCCGCAAUGGGCGAAAGCCUGACGGAGCAACGCCGCGUGAGUGAUGAAGGUCUUCGGAUCGUAAAACUCUGUUAUUAGGGAAGAACAAACGUGUAAGUAACUGUGCACGUCUUGACGGUACCUAAUCAGAAAGCCACGGCUAACUACGUG